GUACUCUUUUUGUGCCCAGUGUAGACUAGAUGUGGAUGAUACAAAUAUAAAAUGUGGUUUCUGCCCUCAGAGAACUCACAAGCUACUAGGGGAGAAAGUCUCAGAUAAAAGCACGGGAUGGAAAGGAAGCUCAAAGAAGCCAAGAAGAUACUCAUGGAUGAAAUGCUUUGCACAUAUGGGAUGGAAAAUUGUGCUGUAUUAAGUCAAAAAGCAGCUUCUGAAGAAUGUAUUAUGGCUGCAGCUUCACAGGGUCAACAUGAUAGCCACAAAUGGAAGGGCAGCAGGGAAGAAAGGAAAGAGGAAAAGGAAGAAAGCUUGUUUUCCUUAUAG
Molecule: long non-coding RNA, 330 nt
Filed under: Bos indicus x Bos taurus (hybrid cattle)
Lineage: Eukaryota; Metazoa; Chordata; Mammalia; Artiodactyla; Bovidae
Description: lncRNA (ENSBIXG00000003640.1)
Source: RNAcentral